UCAGGACGAACGCUGGCGGCGUGCUUAACACAUGCAAGUCGAGCGGAAAGGCCCUUCGGGGUACUCGAGCGGCGAACGGGUGAGUAACACGUGAGUAACCUGCCCCUGGCUCUGGGAUAAGCCUAGGAAACUGGGUCUAAUACCGGAUAUGACCACCUUCUGCAUGGUUGGUGGUGGAAAGUUUUUCGGCUGGGGAUGGGCUCGCGGCCUAUCAGCUUGUUGGUGGGGUGAUGGCCUACCAAGGCGACGACGGGUAGCCGGCCUGAGAGGGCGACCGGCCACACUGGGACUGAGACACGGCCCAGACUCCUACGGGAGGCAGCAGUGGGGAAUAUUGCGCAAUGGGCGAAAGCCUGACGCAGCGACGCCGCGUGGGGGAUGAAGGCCUUCGGGUUGUAAACCUCUUUCACCACCGACGAAGCUAACGUGACGGUAGGUGGGGAAGAAGCGCCGGCUAACUACGUGCCAGCAGCCGCGGUAAUACGUAGGGCGCAAGCGUUGUCCGGAAUUAUUGGGCGUAAAGAGCUCGUAGGCGGUCUGUUGCGUCUGCCGUGAAAACCCGAGGCUUAACCUCGGGCCUGCGGUGGAUACGGGCGGACUAGAGGUAGGUAGGGGAGAAUGGAAUUCCCGGUGUAGCGGUGAAAUGCGCAGAUAUCGGGAGGAACACCGGUGGCGAAGGCGGUUCUCUGGGCCUACCUGAC
This 701-nucleotide ribosomal RNA is filed under the name Actinomadura sp. L2097. RNAcentral describes it as "bacterial SSU rRNA". It matches the Rfam family "Bacterial small subunit ribosomal RNA", at positions 24 to 744 of the family's 1533-position model. The record is from RNAcentral. Lineage: Bacteria; Bacillati; Actinomycetota; Actinomycetes; Streptosporangiales; Thermomonosporaceae.